Long non-coding RNA from Herpailurus yagouaroundi (jaguarundi), 618 nucleotides. RefSeq lists it as uncharacterized. The record is from RefSeq and is a predicted model, not a curated record. Lineage: Eukaryota; Metazoa; Chordata; Mammalia; Carnivora; Felidae. The transcript is spliced from 2 exons.
CUCUCUGCCCCUCCCCGACUUGGGCUCUCUCUCUAUGUGAAUAAACAGACUUAAAAAAAUUAAAAAUGAAUAACUAACUAAAUAACAAAUAACACAGGAGCAGACAGGGGCUUGGGGCCAAGGCAUCCGCCACUAGACAACAUACAUCUGGCCAACCAGUGCCCGUGUCCCUGGCUCUCAGGACUGUGUGUGUGUGGGGGGUGCUGAUCCAGUGUGACAGGUGUCCUUACAGGUGACGACAUGAGGACACAAACACGCACAGGGACGGUCCCAUGAGGACACGGACAAGGGAGAGCACAGUGUCUACACAGACUUCUGACCUCCAGCCUGGGGGCCACCGCCUGGCCCUCCAGCCUUCCCAUGGGUGGCUGAGACCCAUCAAUGGAGCAGGAGACACGGCACGGGGGCUCCGGAGACCUGGCUUCAGACCUUGCAUGACCUUGAUCAAGUCACUUCUCUCUCAACUUCAAUUUUUCCUGCUUUUGUUCUUGAGAUGUAAAAAAAAAAAAAAAAACGCAGAAAACCCAAUCUCUGCUCAUUAGCCGCCAGCCUUUUUCCUAUGCGUUUCAAAAAAAAUUACACCAGUAACAUACUGCUCUUCCUUUAAAAAGAAAAAAA